RNAcentral lists this ribosomal RNA (779 nucleotides) under uncultured bacterium. RNAcentral describes it as "bacterial SSU rRNA". It matches the Rfam family "Bacterial small subunit ribosomal RNA", at positions 65 to 842 of the family's 1533-position model. The record is from RNAcentral.
AGCGGCGCGCGGGGGCACCCUGGCGGCGAGCGGCGAACGGGUGAGGAAUACAUCGGAACGUACCCCGGAGUGGGGGAUAACGCCGCGAAAGCGGCGCUAAUACCGCAUAUGCUCUGAGGAGGAAAGUGGGGGACCGCAAGGCCUCACGCUCUGGGAGCGGCCGAUGUCCGAUUAGCUAGUUGGUGGGGUAAUGGCUUACCAAGGCGACGAUCGGUAGCUGGUCUGAGAGGAUGAUCAGCCACACUGGGACUGAGACACGGCCCAGACUCCUACGGGAGGCAGCAGUGGGGAAUUUUGGACAAUGGGGGCAACCCUGAUCCAGCCAUGCCGCGUGCGGGAAGAAGGCCUUCGGGUUGUAAACCGCUUUUAGUCGGGAAGAAAAGAUCACGGAUAACACCCGUGGUUCUUGACGGUACCGGCGGAAUAAGCACCGGCUAACUACGUGCCAGCAGCCGCGGUAAUACGUAGGGUGCGAGCGUUAAUCGGAAUUACUGGGCGCAAAGCGUGCGCAGGCGGUUCGUUAAGUCAGAUGUGAAAGCCCCGGGCUCAACCUGGGAACUGCAUUUGAAACUGGCGGGCUUGAGUAUGGCAGAGGGGGGUGGAAUUCCGCGUGUAGCAGUGAAAUGCGUAGAGAUGCGGAGGAACACCGAUGGCGAAGGCAGCCCCCUGGGCCAAUACUGACGCUCAGGCACGAAAGCGUGGGGAGNCAACAGGAUUAGAUACCCUGGUAGUCNACGCCCUAAACGAUGCUCACUAGGUGUUGGGGAAGCGAUUCCUUG